UACGGAGGGUGCAAGCGUUAUCCGGAUUCACUGGGUUUAAAGGGUGCGUAGGUGGGCAAGUAAGUCAGUGGUGAAAUCUCCGGGCUUAACCCGGAAACUGCCAUUGAUACUAUUUGUCUUGAAUACUGUGGAGGUCAGCGGAAUAUGUCAUGUAGCGGUGAAAUGCUUAGAUAUGACAUAGAACACCAAUUGCGAAGGCAGCUUACUACACAGUCAUUGACACUGAGGCACGAAAGCGUGGGGAUCAAACAGG
RNAcentral lists this ribosomal RNA (253 nucleotides) under uncultured bacterium. RNAcentral's name for it is "partial 16S ribosomal RNA". It matches the Rfam family "Bacterial small subunit ribosomal RNA", at positions 524 to 776 of the family's 1533-position model. The record is from RNAcentral.